This 95-nucleotide ribosomal RNA is filed under the name Acinetobacter baumannii. Its description in RNAcentral is "partial 16S ribosomal RNA". It matches the Rfam family "Bacterial small subunit ribosomal RNA", at positions 1 to 94 of the family's 1533-position model. The record is from RNAcentral. Lineage: Bacteria; Pseudomonadati; Pseudomonadota; Gammaproteobacteria; Moraxellales; Moraxellaceae.
UAACUGAAGAGUUUGAUCAUGGCUCAGAUUGAACGCUGGCGGCAGGCUUAACACAUGCAAGUCGAGCGGGGGAAGGUAGCUUGCUACCGGACCUA